This is a non-coding RNA of Acanthosepion pharaonis, 113 nucleotides long. The record is from the annotation of a GenBank genome assembly. Lineage: Eukaryota; Metazoa; Mollusca; Cephalopoda; Sepiida; Sepiidae.
UACGGCUACAUCACGUUGAAACGCCGGUUCCCGUACGAUCACCGAAGUUAAGCAACGUCGAGCUUGGUCAGUAUGUAGAUGGAUGACCACCUGGGAAUACCAGGUGCUGUAAG